GGACGUGAGGGCGAUCUGGCUGUGACAUCUGUCACCUCAUUGAUCGCCAGGGUUAAUUCGGCUGAUCUGGCUGGCUAAGCGGGUGUCCCCCUCCUUCCACACCGAUCCACGUGCGUCCCUCCCGAAGCUGUGUGUUGGGUCAAAGAGGAUGACCUUCCCCCCAGAGGAGAGGACCGGUCUUUGGUCAAGGAUAUACGAGUAGCUGCGUAUAUCCCCUGCUAGAACCUCCAAACAAGCUCUCAAAGCACCUUAGACAAUGCUUAGCACGUAACAGACACGCAUUAAAUACAUUUGAAAUGAAUUAAAGU
RNAcentral lists this small nuclear RNA (308 nucleotides) under Myotis davidii. Its description in RNAcentral is "7SK RNA". It matches the Rfam family "7SK RNA". Rfam says of the family: 7SK was discovered as an abundant small nuclear RNA in the mid-70s but a possible function has only recently been suggested. Two independent studies have found that 7SK RNA binds the CDK9/cyclin T complex (known as elongation factor P-TEFb). The record is from Rfam by way of RNAcentral. Lineage: Eukaryota; Metazoa; Chordata; Mammalia; Chiroptera; Vespertilionidae.